GCACUGCUCAGUAACACGUGGACAGCCUGCCCUGAGGACUGGAAUAAUCCCGGGAAACUGGGAGUAAUUCCAGAUAUGUCAGAACUCCUGGAAUGGGUUCUGGCAGAAAGGCUCCGGCGCCUCAGGAUGGGUCUGCGGCCUAUCAGGGUAGUAGUGGGUGUAACGUACCUACUAGCCUACGACGGGUACGGGUUGUGAGAGCAAGAGCCCGGAGAUGGAUUCUGAGACAUGAAUCCAGGCCCUACGGGGUGCAGCAGGCGCGAAAACUUUACAAUGCGGGCAACCGCGAUAAGGGGACCUCGAGUGCUGGGUUACAAACCUGGCUGUUGGGCUGCCUAAAAAGCAGUCUAUAGCAAGGGCCGGGCAAGACCGGUGCCAGCCGCCGCGGUAACACCGGCGGCUCGAGUGGUAACCGCUAUUAUUGGGUCUAAAGGGUCUGUAGCCGGCCGACUAAGUCUCUUGGGAAAUCUGGCAUCUCAAGUGUCAGGCUGCCAGGGGAUACUGGUCGGCUUGGGACCGGGAGAGGUGAGAGGUACCUCGGGGGUAGGGGUGAAAUCUUGUAAUCCUCGAGGGACCACCAGUGGCGAAGGCGUCUCACCA
This 600-nucleotide ribosomal RNA is filed under the name uncultured archaeon. Its description in RNAcentral is "bacterial SSU rRNA". It matches the Rfam family "Archaeal small subunit ribosomal RNA", at positions 83 to 682 of the family's 1478-position model. The record is from RNAcentral.